UUAAGUUAGAAAGGGCGCACGGUGGAUGCCUUGGCACUAGGAGCCGAUGAAGGACGGGACGAACACCGAUAUGCUUCGGGGAGCUGUAAGCAAGCUUUGAUCCGGAGAUUUCCGAAUGGGGAAACCCACCACUCGUAAUGGAGUGGUAUCCAUAUCUGAAUACAUAGGAUAUGAGAAGGCAGACCCGGGGAACUGAAACAUCUAAGUACCCGGAGGAAGAGAAAGCAAAUGCGAUUCCCUGAGUAGCGGCGAGCGAAACGGGACCAGCCCAAACCAAGAGGCUUGCCUCUUGGGGUUGUAGGACACUCUGUACGGAGUUACAAAGGAACGAGGUAGAUGAAGAGGUCUGGAAAGGCCCGCCAUAGGAGGUAACAGCCCUGUAGUCAAAACUUCGUUCUCUCCUGAGUGGAUCCUGAGUACGGCGGAACACGUGAAAUUCCGUCGGAAUCUGGGAGGACCAUCUCCCAAGGCUAAAUACUCCCUAGUGACCGAUAGUGAACCAGUACCGUGAGGGAAAGGUGAAAAGCACCCCGGAAGGGGAGUGAAAGAGAUCCUGAAACCGUGUGCCUACAAGUAGUCAGAGCCCGUUAACGGGUGAUGGCGUGCCUUUUGUAGAAUGAACCGGCGAGUUACGAUCCCGUGCAAGGUUAAGCAGAAGAUGCGGAGCCGCAGCGAAAGCGAGUCUGAAUAGGGCGAAUUGAGUACGUGGUCGUAGACCCGAAACCAGGUGAUCUACCCAUGUCCAGGGUGAAGUUCAGGUAACACUGAAUGGAGGCCCGAACCCACGCACGUUGAAAAGUGCGGGGAUGAGGUGUGGGUAGGGGUGAAAUGCCAAUCGAACCUGGAGAUAGCUGGUUCUCUCCGAAAUAGCUUUAGGGCUAGCCUCAAGGUAAGAGUCUCGGAGGUAGAGCACUGAUUGGACUAGGGGCCCCUACCGGGUUACCGAAUUCAGUCAAACUCCGAAUGCCGAUGACUUAUCCUUGGGAGUCAGACUGCGAGUGAUAAGAUCCGUAGUCGAAAGGGAAACAGCCCAGACCGCCAGCUAAGGUCCCAAAGUAUACGUUAAGUGGAAAAGGAUGUGGAGUUGCUUAGACAACCAGGAUGUUGGCUUAGAAGCAGCCACCAUUUAAAGAGUGCGUAAUAGCUCACUGGUCGAGUGACUCUGCGCCGAAAAUGUACCGGGGCUAAACGUAUCACCGAAGCUGCGGACUGUUCUUCGAACAGUGGUAGGAGAGCGUUCUAAGGGCUGUGAAGCAAGACCGGAAGGACUUGUGGAGCGCUUAGAAGUGAGAAUGCCGGUAUGAGUAGCGAAAGAGGGGUGAGAAUCCCCUCCACCGAAUGCCCAAGGUUUCCUGAGGAAGGCUCGUCCGCUCAGGGUUAGUCGGGACCUAAGCCGAGGCCGAAAGGCGUAGGCGAUGGAUAACAGGUUGAUAUUCCUGUACCACCUCCUCACCAUUUGAGCAAUGGGGGGACGCAGGAGGAUAGGGUAAGCGCGGUAUUGGAUAUCCGCGUCCAAGCAGUUAGGCUGGGAAAUAGGCAAAUCCGUUUCCCGUGAAGGCUGAGCUGUGAUGGCGAGCGAAUUAUAGUAGCGAAGUUCCUGAUUCCACACUGCCAAGAAAAGCCUCUAGCGAGGUGAGAGGUGCCCGUACCGCAAACCGACACAGGUAGGCGAGGAGAGAAUCCUAAGGUGAUCGAGAGAACUCUCGUUAAGGAACUCGGCAAAAUGACCCCGUAACUUCGGGAGAAGGGGUGCUCUGUUAGGGUGCAAGCCCGAGAGAGCCGCAGUGAAUAGGCCCAGGCGACUGUUUAGCAAAAACACAGGUCUCUGCGAAGCCGUAAGGCGAAGUAUAGGGGCUGACGCCUGCCCGGUGCUGGAAGGUUAAGAGGAGCGCUUAGCGUAAGCGAAGGUGCGAAUUGAAGCCCCAGUAAACGGCGGCCGUAACUAUAACGGUCCUAAGGUAGCGAAAUUCCUUGUCGGGUAAGUUCCGACCCGCACGAAAGGCGCAACGAUCUGGGCACUGUCUCAACGAGAGACUCGGUGAAAUUAUAGUACCUGUGAAGAUGCAGGUUACCCGCGACAGGACGGAAAGACCCCGUGGAGCUUUACUGCAGCCUGAUAUUGAAUGUUGGUACAGCUUGUACAGGAUAGGUAGGAGCCUUGGAAACCGGAGCGCCAGCUUCGGUGGAGGCAUCGGUGGGAUACUACCCUGGCUGUAUUGACCUUCUAACCCGCCGCCCUUAUCGGGCGGGGAGACAGUGUCAGGUGGGCAGUUUGACUGGGGCGGUCGCCUCCUAAAAGGUAACGGAGGCGCCCAAAGGUUCCCUCAGAAUGGUUGGAAAUCAUUCGCAGAGUGUAAAGGCACAAGGGAGCUUGACUGCGAGACCUACAAGUCGAGCAGGGACGAAAGUCGGGCUUAGUGAUCCGGUGGUUCCGCAUGGAAGGGCCAUCGCUCAACGGAUAAAAGCUACCCCGGGGAUAACAGGCUUAUCUCCCCCAAGAGUCCACAUCGACGGGGAGGUUUGGCACCUCGAUGUCGGCUCAUCGCAUCCUGGGGCUGUAGUCGGUCCCAAGGGUUGGGCUGUUCGCCCAUUAAAGCGGUACGCGAGCUGGGUUCAGAACGUCGUGAGACAGUUCGGUCCCUAUCCGUCGCGGGCGCAGGAAAUUUGAGAGGAGCUGUCCUUAGUACGAGAGGACCGGGAUGGACGCACCGCUGGUGUACCAGUUGUUCUGCCAAGGGCAUCGCUGGGUAGCUAUGUGCGGACGGGAUAAGUGCUGAAAGCAUCUAAGCAUGAAGCCCCCCUCAAGAUGAGAUUUCCCAUUCCGCAAGGAAGUAAGAUCCCUGAAAGAUGAUCAGGUUGAUAGGUCUGAGGUGGAAGUGUGGCGACACAUGGAGCUGACAGAUACUAAUCGAUCGAGGACUUAACCAA
This 2928-nucleotide ribosomal RNA is filed under the name Bacillus velezensis. RNAcentral describes it as "bacterial LSU rRNA". It matches the Rfam family "Bacterial large subunit ribosomal RNA". The record is from RNAcentral. Lineage: Bacteria; Bacillati; Bacillota; Bacilli; Caryophanales; Bacillaceae.